GAUGAAGAACGCAGCGAAAUGCGAUAAGUAAUGUGAAUUGCAGAAUUCAGUGAAUCAUCGAAUCUUUGAACGCACAUUGCGCCCCCUGGUAUUCCGGGGGCAUGCCUGUUCGAGCGUCAUUUCACCACUCAAGCCUCGCUUGGUAUUGGGCAUCGCGGUCCGCCGCGCGCCUCAAAUCGACCGGCUGGGUCUUCUGUCCCCUAAGCGUUGUGGAAACUAUUCGCUAAAGGGUGUUCGGGAGGCUACGCCGUAAAACAACCCCAUUUCUAAGGUUGACCUCGGAUCAGGUAGGGAUACCCGCUGAACUUAAGCAUAUCAAUAAGCGGAGGA
Molecule: unclassified non-coding RNA, 330 nt
Filed under: soil metagenome
Description: partial contains 5.8S ribosomal RNA, internal transcribed spacer 2, and large subunit ribosomal RNA
Rfam family: 5.8S ribosomal RNA (bases 1-119)
Source: RNAcentral